Podarcis lilfordi (Lilford's wall lizard) is the source of this 73-nucleotide non-coding RNA. The record is from the annotation of a GenBank genome assembly. NCBI's taxonomy places the organism in Eukaryota, Metazoa, Chordata, Lepidosauria, Squamata, Lacertidae.
ACCUCUGUGGCACAGUGGGUCAGUGCCUCUGGCUGUUAACCAGAAGGCUGGUGGAUUGAGCCCACCCAAGGCA